CCUACGGGAGGCAGCAGUGGGGAAUAUUGGACAAUGGGGGCAACCCUGAUCCAGCCAUGCCGCGUGUGUGAAGAAGGCCCUCGGGUUGUAAAGCACUUUCAGUGAGGAAGAACGCCUGGUGGUUAAUACCCAUCAGGAAUGACAUCACUCACAGAAGAAGCACCGGCUAACUCCGUGCCAGCAGCCGCGGUAAUACGGAGGGUGCGAGCGUUAAUCGGAAUUACUGGGCGUAAAGCGCGCGUAGGUGGCUUGAUAAGCCGGUUGUGAAAGCCCCGGGCUCAACCUGGGAACGGCAUCCGGAACUGUCAAGCUAGAGUGCAGGAGAGGAAGGUAGAAUUCCCGGUGUAGCGGUGAAAUGCGUAGAGAUCGGGAGGAAUACCAGUGGCGAAGGCGGCCUUCUGGACUGAAACUGACACUGAGGUGCGAAAGCGUGGGUAGCAAACAGGAUUAGAUACCCGGGUAGUC
RNAcentral lists this ribosomal RNA (465 nucleotides) under Vreelandella stevensii. Its description in RNAcentral is "partial 16S ribosomal RNA". It matches the Rfam family "Bacterial small subunit ribosomal RNA", at positions 338 to 795 of the family's 1533-position model. Lineage: Bacteria; Pseudomonadati; Pseudomonadota; Gammaproteobacteria; Oceanospirillales; Halomonadaceae. The record is from RNAcentral.